GGUCUUUUAGUUUAAUGGUCUAAACAUCAACCCUUCACGUUGAAGAUUGCAAGUUCGAGUCUUGUAAAGAUCA
This 73-nucleotide transfer RNA is filed under the name Serendipita indica DSM 11827. RNAcentral describes it as "Piriformospora indica DSM 11827 tRNA". It matches the Rfam family "tRNA". Rfam says of the family: Transfer RNA (tRNA) molecules are approximately 80 nucleotides in length. Their secondary structure includes four short double-helical elements and three loops (D, anti-codon, and T loops). Lineage: Eukaryota; Fungi; Basidiomycota; Agaricomycetes; Sebacinales; Serendipitaceae. The record is from Rfam by way of RNAcentral.